UCUCAUCUGAUAUCGAUCCAUUAUAUUCGUCCUUUAUUUUACACAGUUCAAAAGUUGACAGUGGUGGUGAAUGGGUUGAAGUAGUCAGAGAGGCUCAUCGUCUUGUCUCUCAUUGUUGUUUUCAUGUGGUUGGAUUAGAUUGAGGCGUAAUAUAAUGCCGUGACGUCACCAGCCUCAGCAAGCCUCUUCUUGCUCUUGAAUACUUCGUUGACAAUUGCCGUGAUCGGACAGCCAGUUUCUUGCUCCUCGGACAUGUUUAGCAUCAUCCUUAGAUCCUUCUGAAGAUAGACGAUUGGCACCUCAACUUCUUGGCGCCUCUUGAGAACUUUUUGGAGUACUUGCUCAGCUAGGGGGCUAUUCAUUGUUGACAGUUUGAUAAUGUCAGCAAAGUCCGAGCCCUUGAGGCUGAGUCGCUCCAACAUUCUUAUGCACUCGACUAAACUACCAACAAUAGUUCCGAAGAACGAGCUCGCAAUCAGGUUCAUCUUCGGAGCAGAGUCACAGCUUGGACCUAGAUA
RNAcentral lists this long non-coding RNA (518 nucleotides) under Olea europaea subsp. europaea. Lineage: Eukaryota; Viridiplantae; Streptophyta; Magnoliopsida; Lamiales; Oleaceae. The record is from RNAcentral.